Pelobates cultripes (western spadefoot toad) is the source of this 313-nucleotide non-coding RNA. NCBI's taxonomy places the organism in Eukaryota, Metazoa, Chordata, Amphibia, Anura, Pelobatidae. The record is from the annotation of a GenBank genome assembly.
CAACCAUCUGUGUGUCUCCACCUGUGCAAAAUCCAAUCGGUGUCUCUUCUCUUUUGCAAAUUCCGAUUUGUGUCUCUUCUCUUGUGCAAACCUCAUUUGUGUCUCUCCACCUGUCCAAACCCAUAUCUGUUUCCCUACACCUAUCCAAACCCCCAUCUGUGUCUCUUUACCUGUCCAAAAUACCAUCUGUGUCUCUCCAACUGUGCAAACAUAAUCUGUGUUUUUCCUUCUAUUCAAACACCUCCAGUCCACCAUCUAUAUCUCUCUUCCUAUGCAAUCCCCCAUCUGUGUCUCUCCUUUUGUCCAAACCUCC